Non-coding RNA from Acanthosepion pharaonis, 101 nucleotides. NCBI's taxonomy places the organism in Eukaryota, Metazoa, Mollusca, Cephalopoda, Sepiida, Sepiidae. The record is from the annotation of a GenBank genome assembly.
ACAUUGAAACACUAGUUCCUGUAUGAUCACUGAUGUUAAACAACAUCGAACCUGGUCAGUAGCUAGAUGGGUGACUGCAUGGGAAUACCAUGUGCUGUAAG